GGUAGUAACAUACACAGGACCUCGGAGCCUUCUCGAGAGUGCACGCUCAGUCAGAUGUCUGGUUUGCUACCAUGAUACUGCUGCGGCAGUGUUCAGUCAGCAAGAGCUGUAUUCCAAGAGUGAUGACGUUCUUUCUCUUUGAAAGUGCAUGAGCCUUGAGAUGGUCCUUUGGACCCAGCCACCUGGUCAAGUGUUGAAAAAUACCACCUUGGAACAAUUUACUUUUCCAUGAGUCCAGUCGCGAGUUCACCCAGUGUGUCUCCGUGCCUUGUGCCACCAGUUGGUCACAUGUGCAGCCGCCAGGUUUUGUGCUUUCAUGCCCUGACAACUUUUUUUGCACCGCAAGGUGUCGCAGUAAGAGCCUUGAGCUAUACGCCAGGAGCCGUGCAAACAGCAAUAAGCGCCUACCAGGUAGGCCAUGCUGGACCAGCCCGAGCUGUGAGAGCUACAUGCCAUGCCUGAGCCAUCUGCUAGAUGAAGGUCAUUGAGAGAUAAGUGCAAUGCUAAGUCCAUGCAAUCUCGAGCUAGAGCAAAGUGCCAUAGGGCCAUGCCUAUGCUAACAAAGCAGUGAGUGCCAUUGAGCCAUGCUACGCCCGAGCAAAGUGCCCAGAGCCAUGCCAGUGCGAGCCAGAGCGAGUGAAAUACCGCCAGAGCAGCCGGAGCGAGCGAAAGCAGCCCGAGCAUACCGCGCUACACGCGUGACAGUGUCGACCCGAUCAAAAGGGCCCGCUGUGUGAGGAUGUACGCUGUCGAACCUGAACAAGGAUGUACACAAGCAGAACCUCAUUGUAUAGAUUGGAGGAUUAGGACGAAAGAUCCGAACCUCCGGGGAUAAUACAUUAUGGACCAAAGAGUCCCUCCCGAAUUUUGUG
Molecule: unclassified non-coding RNA, 872 nt
Filed under: Yarrowia lipolytica
Lineage: Eukaryota; Fungi; Ascomycota; Dipodascomycetes; Dipodascales
Source: RNAcentral